UUAGGUAAGCAAUGGAGAGACGCAGGAAGGUAGCCGAACCGCGGCGAUGGUUGUUCCGCGGGUAAGGGUGUAGGGCGAGGUGUAGGCAAAUCCGCACCUCAUGUGCCUGAGACCUGACACGGACCCGUAAGGGGAAGUCGGUGAUCCUAUGCUGCCAAGAAAAUCUUCUAGCGAGGUUCUAGCCGCCCGUACCCCAAACCGACUCAGGUGGUUAGGUAGAGAAUACCAAGGCGAUCGAGUGAAUCGUGGUUAAGGAAUUCGGCAAAAUACCCCCGUAACUUCGGGAGAAGGGGGGCCCAGAGGGUGACGGGACUUGCUCCCCGAGCCUGAACGGCCGCAGAGACCAGGGAGAAGCGACUGUUUACUAAAAACACAGGUCCGUGCCAAGUCGCAAGACGAUGCAUACGGACUGACGCCUGCCCGGUGCUGGAACGUUAAGGGGACCGGUUAGCCUCACGGCGAAGCUGAGAACUUAAGCGCCAGUAAACGGCGGUGGUAACUAUAACCAUCCUAAGGUAGCGAAAUUCCUUGUCGGGUAAGUUCCGACCUGCACGAAUGGCGUAACGACUUCUCCACUGUCUCAACCACGAACUCGGCGAAAUUGCACUACGAGUAAAGAUGCUCGUUACGCGCAGAAGGACGGAAAGACCCCGGGACCUUUACUACAGCUUGGUAUUGGUGUUCGGUACGGCUUGUGUAGGAUAGGUGGGAGACUGUGAAGCUGACACGCCAGUGUCGGUGGAGUCAACGUUGAAAUACCACUCUGGUCGUUCUGGAUAUCUAACCUAGGUCCGUAAUCCGGAUCAGGGACAGUGCCUGGUGGGUAGUUUAACUGGGGCGGUUGCCUCCUAAAAGGUAACGGAGGCGCCCAAAGGUUCCCUCAGCCUGGUUGGCAAUCAGGUUUCGAGUGUAAGUGCACAAGGGAGCUUGACUGUGAGACUGACAAGUCGAACAGGGACGAAAGUCGGGACUAGUGAUCCGGCGGUGGCUUGUGGAAGCGCCGUCGCUCAACGGAUAAAAGGUACCCCGGGGAUAACAGGCUGAUCUUGCCCAAGAGUCCAUAUCGACGGCAUGGUUUGGCACCUCGAUGUCGGCUCGUCGCAUCCUGGGGCUGGAGUAGGUCCCAAGGGUUGGGCUGUUCGCCCAUUAAAGCGGUACGCGAGCUGGGUUUAGAACGUCGUGAGACAGUUCGGUCCCUAUCCUCUGCGCUGCAGGAAACUUGAGAAGGGCUGUCCCUAGUACGAGAGGACCGGGAUGGACGAACCUCUGGUGUGUCAGUUGUUCUGCCAAGAGCACCGCUGAUUAGCUACGUUCGGGAGUGAUAACCGCUGAAAGCAUCUAAGCGGGAAGCAUGCUUCAAGAUGAGGUUUCCAUGGGGUUUACCCCGAGAGGCUCCCAGCUAGACUACUGGGUUGAUAGGCCGGAUGUGGAAGUGCGGUAACGCAUGGAGCUGACCGGUACUAAUAAGCCGAUAACUUGAC
Molecule: ribosomal RNA, 1481 nt
Filed under: metagenome
Description: bacterial LSU rRNA
Rfam family: Bacterial large subunit ribosomal RNA
Source: RNAcentral